This is a long non-coding RNA of Clupea harengus (Atlantic herring), 2381 nucleotides long. Lineage: Eukaryota; Metazoa; Chordata; Actinopteri; Clupeiformes; Clupeidae. The record is from Ensembl.
CGCCCUCCAGUCGGAAUAAUUGGCCAAUUAAACGUCUACAUUGUCGUGCUGAAGGUGCAUGACCAGGCUUUUGAAAGAGUAGGUGGUAGUGACUGGGGCGGCAACAUGAAUCGUGUUAAACGGCCAUAAAGUGAGAAUGGCUCCGCGAGGGGAGACGCACACAGGGCAGUGAUCGAGCACCCGGGGUUAAAGGUCACACAUGCUGAAGAACAAAGGGCUGGUAAAGCAAAUGGCCCGCGCAGGACAGUCAAACAUAGGCUUGUGCGCUUCAUAAAACCGUUAGUCUUAAAGAGGCUGAGGGAAAGGGAAGUCUGAGAGAGAACAUGCCCAUCCUGCUUUGGCUGAAAACCUUAAAAGAGGAAACUGAAGUCCUCCCUCUUCAGAGAAAGCCUCAUCAUCCAAAGAGCUGCCCCUGGAGCCAUGCAUGCUCAGACAGACCAAAGCCAACCCUGAGCAGCAUAUCCCUCACACUCCAGCCCUAAGGCCCCUCACACUCCAGCCCUAAGGCCACGACGACCUUUAGAGCUCCGCCGUUACAAUGUGUGGUUCAGAGACUUGUGGGGGGAAGAGCUUCUGAAGGUGGAUGACACUGCAUUUUAGAGCCGUCUGAUACUUCUUUUCAAGGAAUCUGGCGGCCUGAAAUCCGGUGAACCGAAAACACUGUCAGACUCAUUGGUACAUGUUUUCAUGCGAACGCCGGAUUCCUGAGCAGAUUAGUUUGCAGUAACGGGGAUCAGCGGCCGGCAAUCCUCGUGGUGAGGACGCUUAAACCCAAACGAGGCAUCGCCACGGCGCAAACGUAAGGGCACAGCUUUGCGUAACUGAGGAGGGGGAGACAACGCAAGCCCAGGUCAGGCUGACACAGACCUGUCUCCCUACACAGACCUGUCUCCCCACACAGACCUGUCUCACACAACACAGGUCUGUCUCCCCUCCCGGUGCCAGGGCGUACACGCAGAGCUAUGUCAGCGGCAGUGACCCGAACGGAGGUUAUUUACAUGUUGGGAAUUACAUUGCAUAACAGCAACAAUGCGCUUUGUUUUUCCUGGUCUGUAGCCUACAUGAUCUGGUGCAAGCAGGGAUUUAGACCUACCAGUUACAAAUCCGUAAAUUACAUAGAAUUUUUCCACUGCCUGUGUCUGUGAAUCUGUCUGUGUGUGUGUGUGAAUCUGUGUGUGUGUCUGUGAAUCUGUGUGUGCGUGUGUGUCUGUGAAUCUGUGUGUGUUUGUGUGUGUAUGUGUGUCUGUGAAUCUGUGUGUGUGUCUGUGAAUCUGUGUGUGCGUGUGUGUCUGUGAAUCUGUGUGUGUUUGUGUGUGUAUGUGUGUCUGUGAAUCUGUGUGUAUGUCUGUGAAUCUGUGUGUGUGUGUGUGUGUGUGUGUGUCUGUCUGUGAAUCUGUGUGUGUUUGUGUGUGAGUGUGUCGGUGGAUGAAACACAGAAUAUACACAAGGAAGAAUAAUGAACUGCCAGGAGUGUAUGCAUAUAUUUAGGUGUGUUUGGGCGGCCUGUGCCGGAUCAAAGUCGGAUCUGCGUCAGGUCCAUCUCAGAGUGGGCUGUUUUUCCGCAGGAUGGGAGGCUUGGAGGCUUCCAGUGUGUCUAUCAGCGGGUCAAAUCGAUGAGGGACACACACACACACACACACACACACACACACACACACAUACACACACACACACAUACACACACACACACACCCAUUUCACACACACACGCACAUACACACACUAACACACACACACACACACACACACACACAUACACACAUACACUCACACACACAAAUUUCGCACUUUCAUCCCCAGCUAUUCAGUACAUACUGUGUUCAGUGAGUUUCCAUGCAUAGUGCUGUGUAAUGAUUGCUUCAGCAUAUUUAAUUAACCAUCUGUUUACUGGGCAGCGUAAUGAUGAGCUAAUGCUGUAUGUUAAAAUAUGAUCUUAUGCAAUAAACUGUCCUAUUUAUUUUAAUUAUUAGUUUCCUUCACUGGGACCCUCCCCUGAGUAGGCUGAGGCAUGUGCAGUCAAGAGCUGGGGUGAAGUGUGUGUGACCAAAUGAACAGGUUUAAAUGGAGCGCAGGAUGCCUUGUGUGUGUGUGUGUGUGUGUGUGUGUGUGUCUGUGUGUGUUUGUGUGUGUGACCAAAUUAGCAGUUUUAAAUGGAGCGCAGGAUGCCGUGUGUGUGUGUGGGGGGGGGGGGGGUGUGAGUGUGUGUGUGUGUCUGUGUGUGUAUGUAUGUGUGUGACCAAAUUAACUGGUUUAAAUGGAGUGCAGGAUGCCGUGUGUGUGUGUGUGUGUGUGUGUGUGUGUGUGUGUGAGUGUGUCGGUGGAUGAAACACAGAAUAUACACAAGGAAGAAGUGGCGAUUUUAGCCUGAGAUUUCUGGUGGG